This 466-nucleotide ribosomal RNA is filed under the name uncultured bacterium. Its description in RNAcentral is "bacterial SSU rRNA". It matches the Rfam family "Bacterial small subunit ribosomal RNA", at positions 28 to 507 of the family's 1533-position model. The record is from RNAcentral.
GACGAACGCUGGCGGCGUGCCUAACACAUGCAAGUCGAGCGGGGACCGAGGUGCUUGCACCUUGGUUCUAGCGGCGGACGGGUGAGUAACGCGUGAGCAACCUGCCUCAAACUGGGGGAUAACGCAUCGAAAGAUGUGCUAAUACCGCGUAAGACCACGCUACCACAUGGUAGAGGGGUCAAAGGAGCAAUCCGGUUUGAGAUGGGCUCGCGUCUGAUUAGCUAGUUGGCGGGAUAACAGCCCACCAAGGCGACGAUCGGUAGCCGACCUGAGAGGGUGAUCGGCCACAUUGGAACUGAGAUACGGUCCAGACUCCUACGGGAGGCAGCAGUGGGGAAUAUUGCGCAAUGGGGGGCAACCCUGACGCAGCAACGCCGCGUGAAGGAUGAAGGUCUUCGGAUCGUAAACUUUGUCUUAUGGGAAGAACAAGGACGGUACCAUAGGAGAAGCCACGGCUAACUACGUG